Molecule: ribosomal RNA, 663 nt
Filed under: Sphingobium xenophagum
Lineage: Bacteria; Pseudomonadati; Pseudomonadota; Alphaproteobacteria; Sphingomonadales; Sphingobiaceae
Description: bacterial SSU rRNA
Rfam family: Bacterial small subunit ribosomal RNA
Source: RNAcentral
UGCAGUCGAACGAGACCUUCGGGUCUAGUGGCGCACGGGUGCGUAACGCGUGGGAAUCUGCCCUUGGGUUCGGAAUAACUUCGGGAAACUGAAGCUAAUACCGGAUGAUGACGAAAGUCCAAAGAUUUAUCGCCCAGGGAUGAGCCCGCGUAGGAUUAGCUAGUUGGUGGGGUAAAGGCUCACCAAGGCAACGAUCCUUAGCUGGUCUGAGAGGAUGAUCAGCCACACUGGGACUGAGACACGGCCCAGACUCCUACGGGAGGCAGCAGUAGGGAAUAUUGGACAAUGGGCGAAAGCCUGAUCCAGCAAUGCCGCGUGAGUGAUGAAGGCCUUAGGGUUGUAAAGCUCUUUUACCCGAGAUGAUAAUGACAGUAUCGGGAGAAUAAGCUCCGGCUAACUCCGUGCCAGCAGCCGCGGUAAUACGGAGGGAGCUAGCGUUGUUCGGAAUUACUGGGCGUAAAGCGCACGUAGGCGGCGAUUUAAGUCAGAGGUGAAAGCCCGGGGCUCAACCCCGGAACUGCCUUUGAGACUGGAUUGCUAGAAUCUUGGAGAGGCGAGUGGAAUUCCGAGUGUAGAGGUGAAAUUCGUAGAUAUUCGGAAGAACACCAGUGGCGAAGGCGGCUCGCUGGACAAGUAUUGACGCUGAGGUGCGAAAGCGUGGGG